AUCGAGAGGUGGGCUGGACGUAUCACAAGUGCGAAUGCUGACAUAAGUAACGAUAAAACGGGUGAAAAACCCGUUCGCCGGAAGACCAAGGGUUCCUGUCCAACGUUAAUCGGGGCAGGGUGAGUCGGCUCCUAAGGCGAGGCUGAAAAGCGUAGUCGAUGGGAAACAGGUUAAUAUUCCUGUACUUGGUAAAGCUGCGAUGUGGGGACGGAGUAGGUUAGGUUAUCGCACUGUUGGAUAUGUGCGUUUAAGUUGGUAGGUGGGAAGUUUAGGCAAAUCCGGGCUUCCUUAACACAGAGAGAUGAUGACGAGGCUCUACGGAGCUGAAGUAACUGAUACCACACUUCCAGGAAAAGCCACUAAGCGAAAGGCUUUACUAAACCGUACUGAAAACCGACACAGGUGGUCAGGUAGAGAAUACUCAGGCGCUUGAGAGAACUCGGGUGAAGGAACUAGGCAAAAUAGCACCGUAACUUCGGGAGAAGGUGCGCCGGCGUAGAUUGUAAGGGCUAGCCCCUGAAGGUUGAACCGGUCGAAGAUACCAGCUGGCUGCAACUGUUUAUUAAAAACACAGCACUCUGCAAACACGAAAGUGGACGUAUAGGGUGUGAUGCCUGCCCGGUGCUGGAAGGUUAAUUGAUGGUGUAAUCGCAAGAGAAGCACCUGAUCGAAGCCCCAGUAAACGGCGGCCGUAACUAUAACGGUCCUAAGGUAGCGAAAUUCCUUGUCGGGUAAGUUCCGACCUGCACGAAUGGCAUAAUGAUGGCCAGGCUGUCUCCACCCGAGACUCAGUGAAAUUGAAAUCGCCGUGAAGAUGCGGUGUACCCGCGGCUAGACGGAAAGACCCCGUGAACCUUUACUAUAGCUUGACACUGAACAUUGAAUUUUGAUGUGUAGGAUAGGUGGGAGACUUAGAAGUAGUCACGCCAGUGAUUAUGGAGUCGACCUUGAAAUACCACCCUUUAACGUUUGAUGUUCUAACGAAGAUGACGAAACGUGGUCUCGGACAGUGUCUGGUGGGUAGUUUGACUGGGGCGGUCUCCUCCCAAAGCGUAACGGAGGAGCACGAAGGUUUGCUAAUCACGGUCGGACAUCGUGAGGUUAGUGCAAUGGUAUAAGCAAGCUUAACUGCGAGACAGACAAGUCGAGCAGGUACGAAAGUAGGUCAUAGUGAUCCGGUGGUUCUGAAUGGAAGGGCCAUCGCUCAACGGAUAAAAGGUACUCCGGGGAUAACAGGCUGAUACCGCCCAAGAGUUCAUAUCGACGGCGGUGUUUGGCACCUCGAUGUCGGCUCAUCACAUCCUGGGGCUGAAGUAGGUCCCAAGGGUAUGGCUGUUCGCCAUUUAAAGUGGUACGCGAGCUGGGUUUAGAACGUCGUGAGACAGUUCGGUCCCUAUCUGCCGUGGGCGUUGGAUGAUUAAUUGGGGCUGCUCCUAGUACGAGAGGACCGGAGUGGACGCAUCACUGGUGUUCCAGUUGUCUCGCCAGAGGCAUUGCUGGGUAGCUAAGUGCGGAAGAGAUAAGUGCUGAAAGCAUCUAAGCACGAAACUUGCCAAGAGAUGAGU
Molecule: ribosomal RNA, 1565 nt
Filed under: Haemophilus influenzae
Lineage: Bacteria; Pseudomonadati; Pseudomonadota; Gammaproteobacteria; Pasteurellales; Pasteurellaceae
Description: partial 23S ribosomal RNA
Rfam family: Bacterial large subunit ribosomal RNA
Source: RNAcentral